This 480-nucleotide ribosomal RNA is filed under the name uncultured bacterium. RNAcentral describes it as "partial 16S ribosomal RNA". It matches the Rfam family "Bacterial small subunit ribosomal RNA", at positions 29 to 507 of the family's 1533-position model. The record is from RNAcentral.
AUGAACGCUGGCGGCGUGCUUAACACCUGCCAGUCGCACGAAGCACUUUAUUUGAUUUCCUUCGGGACUGAUUAUUUUGUGACUGAGUGGCGGACGGGUGAGUAACGCGUGGGUAACCUGCCUUGUACAGGGGGAUAACAGUUGGAAACGGCUGCUAAUACCGCAUAAGCGCACAGCAUCGCAUGAUGCAGUGUGAAAAACUCCGGUGGUAUAAGAUGGACCCGCGUUGGAUUAGCUAGUUGGUGAGGUAACGGCCCACCAAGGCGACGAUCCAUAGCCGACCUGAGAGGGUGACCGGCCACAUUGGGACUGAGACACGGCCCAAACUCCUACGGGAGGCAGCAGUGGGGAAUAUUGCACAAUGGGCGAAAGCCUGAUGCAGCGACGCCGCGUGAGCGAAGAAGUAUUUCGGUAUGUAAAGCUCUAUCAGCAGGGAAGAUAAUGACGGUACCUGACUAAGAAGCACCGGCUAAAUACGUG